This 1367-nucleotide ribosomal RNA is filed under the name Smilium sinense. RNAcentral describes it as "16S ribosomal RNA". The stretch from base 876 to 1236 matches the Rfam family "Archaeal large subunit ribosomal RNA", at positions 2150 to 2716 of the family's 2987-position model. Lineage: Eukaryota; Metazoa; Arthropoda; Thecostraca; Calanticomorpha; Calanticidae. The record is from RNAcentral.
CACUGAAAAGUAACUUGUAUAAACAAGAUUUUCUAUAAAGGCUAUAGUUAAAAUAAAUAAAAAUUUAAGAAAUUAUUAAGAAAGUAUUUUUUUUGAAAUUAAUUAUUACUAUAUUUUAUAAGUACUGUGAAGGAAUUAUGAAAUAAAAAUUUUAUAUAAUUAUAGAACUAUUUAAUGAAGGUACCUUUUGUAUUAGUGAUUAUUUAAAUAUAAAUUUAUAAUUUUAUCUCGAAAACAAUAGAUUUAAAAAAUUAUUUAUGUUUAUGUAUUAUAAUAAUAUAAUAUAAUUUUUUAGAAGUGAAAAACUUUUCAUUAUUGUUUAUAUCUAGUAACCUAAGAAAUAAUUUUAGAUUAAAAUAUUGAGAAAAAUCAAUUUUUGUUUUUAUAAAUAUAUUUUUAAAUUUUAGGGGAUAAGCUCUAUAAUUUUUUUAUAUAAUUAAUUUAAUUAUAAAAUUUUAUUAGGCUUAGAAUUGGCUUAGUAUUUUUAUAAAUUAUAAAUAGAAGAAUAUGAUUUAAAUUUUAUUAAUAUUUUAUUAGGUCUAUUAUUUUAAUUAUUUAAGAAAGUGAAAAUGAUAAUAUUAGUAGAUUAUAAUAUUUUUUUUUUAUUAAAUUAAUUAAUAAAAUCUGAAAAAUGAAAAAUUAUAAAAGAACUCGGCAAAAGACAUUUCCGAAUGUUUAUCAAAAACAUUUCUUCCUUUUAUAGGAAGUAGGGCCUGCUCACUGAUUUUUAAAGAGCCGCAGUAUAUUGACUGUGCUAAGGUAGCAUAAUCAUUAGUUUUUUAAAUGAAAACUGGUAUGAACGGUUUAACGAGAAAUGGACUUUUUUUAUAAUUAAAUAUUGAAUUUAACUUUUAAGUGAAAAGGCUUAAAUAAUUUUAAAAGACGAGAAGACCCUAUAGAAUUUUAUAAUAAGUUAAUUUAGAUUAAUUAGAAGGAAAAAAUCUUUUUUAAUAUUUUAUUUCGUUGGGGCGACGUUAAGAUAAAUAAAACUCUUAAGUUUAAUUAUUUUUUCUGAAAUAUCUUUGAUCCUUUAAAAAAGAUUAAAGGAAAAAUUACCUUAGGGAUAACAGCGUAAUCUUUUUUUAGAGUCCUAAUCGACAAAAAGGUUUGCGACCUCGAUGUUGGAUUAAAAUUUGUAAAGGGUGUAGAAGUUCUUUAACAUGGUCUGUUCGACCAUUAAAAUUUUACAUGAUCUGAGUUCAGACCGGCGUGAGCCAGGUUGGUUUCUAUCUUUAAAGACUUUUAAUUUAACUUAGUACGAAAGGACCAGUUAAAUAUAAAUUUUAUUAUUGAAGGAGGUUAUUUAAUUACAUUUAUAUAAAUUUGGCAGAUAAUUGUAUUAGAUUUAGAAUCUAAAAAUAAGAAUU